Molecule: ribosomal RNA, 533 nt
Filed under: uncultured bacterium
Lineage: Bacteria
Description: bacterial SSU rRNA
Rfam family: Bacterial small subunit ribosomal RNA
Source: RNAcentral
CACGGCGCACGGGGGCGUAACACGUGGGCAAUCUGCCCUUUGAUGGGGAAUAACCCGCCGAAAGGCGGGCUAAUUCCGCAUAAGAUUCCCGGAACUUCGGUUCUGGAUUGAAAGCAGCAAUGCGUCGAAGGAGGAGCCCGCGCCCGAUUAGCUAGUCGGUGAGGUAACGGCUCACCAAGGCUGUGAUCGGUGGCUGGUCUGAGAGGAUGAUCAGCCACACUGGAACUGAGACACGGUCCAGACUCCUACGGGAGGCAGCAGUGGGGAAUCUUGCACAAUGGGCGAAAGCCUGAUGCAGUGACGCCGCGUGGGGGAUGAAGCAUUUCGGUGUGUAAACCCCUUUCGACUGGGAAGAAUACCUCGCAAGAGGGGUGACGGUACCAGUAGAAGAAGCCCCGGCUAACUACGUGCCAGCAGCCGCGGUAAGACGUAGGGGGCCAGCGUUGUUCGGAAUUACUGGGUGUAAAGGGUUCGUAGGCGGUGCGGCAAGUUGGGAGUGAAAUCUCUGGGCUUAACCCAGAGGCUGCUUCCAA